Molecule: long non-coding RNA, 382 nt
Filed under: Homo sapiens (human)
Lineage: Eukaryota; Metazoa; Chordata; Mammalia; Primates; Hominidae
Description: non-protein coding lnc-MFNG-3:1
Source: RNAcentral
GCAGAAAGCCUCUCUGGGGAGGAACUGUGCCCAUCCUCAGCGCCUGGAGCCCCCAAGGCUCAGCCUGCCACCCCUGGGCUAGGCAGCAGGAUCCGGGCCAUCCAGGAGUCUGUUGGGAACAGAAGCACUGCCUGCUGGAGCUGGGUGCUCGGGGUGUGCGGGAGCUGGUGCAGAACGAGAUCUACCCCAUCGUCAUCCACGUGGAGGUGACUGAGAAGAAUGUCCGGGAAGUCAGGGUCUGCUGGGCCGGCCGGGCUGGCGGGACUCAGAGCUGCUGCGGCAGUGCCGUGGCUCAGAGCAGGUGCUCUGGGGGCUGCCCUGCUCCUGGGUGCAGGUGCCCGCCCAUGAGUGGGGACACGCAGAGGAGCUGGCCAAGGUGGUG